Molecule: ribosomal RNA, 258 nt
Filed under: uncultured bacterium
Lineage: Bacteria
Description: partial 16S ribosomal RNA
Rfam family: Bacterial small subunit ribosomal RNA
Source: RNAcentral
GUCCACGCCGUAAACGAUGGAUACUAGCUGUUGGGGGCAACUUCAGUGGCUAAGCGAAAGUGAUAAGUAUCCCACCUGGGGAGUACGGGCGCAAGCCUGAAACUCAAAAGGAAUUGACGGGGGCCCGCACAAGCGGUGGAGCAUGUGGUUUAAUUCGAUGAUACGCGAGGAACCUUACCAAGGCUUAAAAUGUAGACUGACCGGUUUGGAAACAGACCUUUCGCAAAGACAGUUUACAAGGUGCUGCAUGGUUGUCGU